GACGAACGCUGGCGGCGUGCUUAACACAUGCAAGUCGAACGGAAAGGCCCUGCUUUUGUGGGGUGCUCGAGUGGCGAACGGGUGAGUAACGCGUGAGUAACCUGCCCUUGACUUUGGGAUAACUUCAGGAAACUGGGGCUAAUACCGGAUAGGAGCUCCUGCUGCAUGGUGGGGGUUGGAAAGUUUCGGCGGUUGGGGAAGGACUCGCGGCUUAUCAGCUUGUUGGUGGGGUAGUGGCUUACCAAGGCUUUGACGGGUAGCCGGCCUGAGAGGGUGACCGGCCACAUUGGGACUGAGAUACGGCCCAGACUCCUACGGGAGGCAGCAGUGGGGAAUAUUGCACAAUGGGCGGAAGCCUGAUGCAGCAACGCCGCGUGCGGGAUGACGGCCUUCGGGUUGUAAACCGCUUUCGCCUGUGACGAAGCGUGAGUGACGGUAAUGGGUAAAGAAGCACCGGCUAACUACGUG
RNAcentral lists this ribosomal RNA (468 nucleotides) under uncultured bacterium. RNAcentral describes it as "partial 16S ribosomal RNA". It matches the Rfam family "Bacterial small subunit ribosomal RNA", at positions 28 to 507 of the family's 1533-position model. The record is from RNAcentral.